AUUAUGGAGAGUUUGAUCCUGGCUCAGGACGAACGCUGGCGGCGUGCCUAAUACAUGCAAGUCGAGCGGAAUGAUGAAGAAGCUUGCUUCUUCUGAUUUUAGCGGCGGACGGGUGAGUAACACGUGG
Molecule: non-coding RNA, 127 nt
Filed under: Paenisporosarcina sp. HGH0030
Lineage: Bacteria; Bacillati; Bacillota; Bacilli; Caryophanales; Caryophanaceae
Description: Bacterial small subunit ribosomal RNA
Rfam family: Bacterial small subunit ribosomal RNA
Source: Rfam by way of RNAcentral